AAGGAGCACGGAGACACAGCGCUGCGUGUCGCCGACUACGUGACGAUACAGGACUAUUUCGGCGACUGUCUUUCGGAGACUAAUGCAAGUCGAGCGUUCACCACUGCCAUGGCAACGGGCAUGGAUAAUGUCACCAACAACUGCGACUGGAGCAUUCAUAAGGACCUCAACGUUAGACCGAGGACGGAGGAUUUUUUUCAAGUGGGCUGGCAGACGAAAUACGUCGCUGCCAGCAAUGUCACCAAGGUUGUUGACA
Long non-coding RNA from Priapulus caudatus, 256 nucleotides. RefSeq lists it as uncharacterized. Lineage: Eukaryota; Metazoa; Priapulida; Priapulimorpha; Priapulimorphida; Priapulidae. The transcript is spliced from 3 exons. The record is from RefSeq and is a predicted model, not a curated record.